Loxodonta africana (African savanna elephant) is the source of this 71-nucleotide transfer RNA. It matches the Rfam family "tRNA". From Rfam's summary of the family: Transfer RNA (tRNA) molecules are approximately 80 nucleotides in length. Their secondary structure includes four short double-helical elements and three loops (D, anti-codon, and T loops). The record is from Rfam. NCBI's taxonomy places the organism in Eukaryota, Metazoa, Chordata, Mammalia, Proboscidea, Elephantidae.
GCAUUGGUGGUUCAGUGGUAGAAUUCUCACCUUCCAUGCUGGAGACCCAGGUUCGAUUCCUGCUCAAUGCA